UUUAGAUAUCUGAGUUGAACUCUGCAAGACAACAGAAGAAACUGAACCAAGCUCUGCAGACAUUGUUGCAGCACAGCUGGCUUCAUUGAAUGUGCACUGUCGUAGCUGAGAGCUCAGCUUGGACUGGCACCAACUUUGAAUUCUUUAUGGACGGAAGAUACUUCUGAUUAAAAGAUACAUCUUGAUUUAAAGAACAGCUAGUAUGUAGUAGACAUAAUACAUGGCUACCAGGAG
Molecule: long non-coding RNA, 234 nt
Filed under: Gallus gallus (chicken)
Lineage: Eukaryota; Metazoa; Chordata; Aves; Galliformes; Phasianidae
Source: RNAcentral